GAGGGUGUAGCUCAGUGGCAGAGCAGGUGCUUAGCAUGCACGUAGUCCUGGGUUCAAUCCCCAGUACCUCCA
This 72-nucleotide transfer RNA is filed under the name Camelus bactrianus (Bactrian camel). It matches the Rfam family "tRNA". From Rfam's summary of the family: Transfer RNA (tRNA) molecules are approximately 80 nucleotides in length. Their secondary structure includes four short double-helical elements and three loops (D, anti-codon, and T loops). Further hydrogen bonds mediate the characteristic L-shaped molecular structure. tRNAs have two regions of fundamental functional importance: the anti-codon, which is responsible for specific mRNA codon recognition, and the 3' end, to which the tRNAs corresponding amino acid is attached (by aminoacyl-tRNA synthetases). tRNAs cope with the degeneracy of the genetic code in two manners: having more than one tRNA (with a specific anti-codon) for a particular amino acid; and 'wobble' base-pairing, i.e. permitting non-standard base-pairing at the 3rd anti-codon position. The record is from Rfam by way of RNAcentral. Lineage: Eukaryota; Metazoa; Chordata; Mammalia; Artiodactyla; Camelidae. RNAcentral also lists the same sequence under 2 other names.